Peromyscus leucopus (white-footed mouse) is the source of this 401-nucleotide long non-coding RNA. RefSeq lists it as uncharacterized. The record is from RefSeq and is a predicted model, not a curated record. The transcript is spliced from 2 exons. Lineage: Eukaryota; Metazoa; Chordata; Mammalia; Rodentia; Cricetidae.
UAGACAGUGUAGAAACACCAAUUUCAACACAGCCCAGCUUCCAGGAGUGCUUAAACUUUCCGGUCCCUUAUCAAUCUGCAGCUCAGAAAGCACAUGUGGAGACUGUUAGUCACCUAUCCUCCAAGAAGCAGGAUGGGCACUGAGAACCCGACCUACCCUCUCCCGCCACCAGGACAUGGAGGUCUCCAUUCUUCCUCCUUCCCAAAGCAUCCCCACCCCCAGCUUAAUUACCACAGAUCCCUGGAGAGUGGGCAACAGGUUUCUCUUCAAAGCUGACUCCUUAGGAUCUGUAGAUAGCAGAGCCCCUCCCUCUGAUGCCCAACCCCCUCCUCUUUGUGCACAGAUCGUUUACUUAUUAAACCAAUUAGAUUAAAUGACUCAUACUGCACCCUUGGGCAUGA